GACGAACGCUGGCGGCGUGCUUAACACAUGCAAGUCGAACGGAAAGGCCCUGCUUCUGUGGGGUGCUCGAGUGGCGAACGGGUGAGUAACACGUGAGUAACCUGCCCUUGACUUUGGGAUAACUUCAGGAAACUGGGGCUAAUACCGGAUAGGAGCUCCUGCUGCAUGGAGGGGGUGGGAAAGUUUCGGCGGUUGGGGAUGGACUAGCGGCUUAUCAGCUUGUUGGUGGGGUAGGGGCUUACCAAGGCUUUGACGGGUAGCCGGCCUGAGAGGGUGACCGGCCACAUUGGGACUGCGAUACGGCCCAGACUCCUACGGGGGGCAGAAGUGGGGAAUAUUGCCCAAUGGGCGGAAGCCUGAUGCAGCAACGCCGCGUGCGUGAUGACGGCCUGCGGGUUGUAAACCGCUUUCGCCUGUGACGAAGCGUGAGUGACGGUAAUGGGUAAAGAAGCACCGGCUAACUACGUG
RNAcentral lists this ribosomal RNA (468 nucleotides) under uncultured bacterium. Its description in RNAcentral is "partial 16S ribosomal RNA". It matches the Rfam family "Bacterial small subunit ribosomal RNA", at positions 28 to 507 of the family's 1533-position model. The record is from RNAcentral.